UACAGAGGUCCCAAGCGUUGUUCGGAUUCACUGGGCGUAAAGGGUGCGUAGGUGGUUGUGCAAGUCUGAUGUGAAAUCUCCGGGCUUAACCCGGAAAUGGCAUUGGAAACUGCAUGGCUAGAGGGUUGGAGGGGGGACUGGAAUACUUGGUGUAGCAGUGAAAUGCGUAGAUAUCUGGAGGAACACCGAUGGCGAAGGCAGCCCCCUGGGUCAAGACUGACGCUCAUGCACGAAAGCGUGGGGAGCAAACAGG
This 253-nucleotide ribosomal RNA is filed under the name uncultured bacterium. RNAcentral's name for it is "partial 16S ribosomal RNA". It matches the Rfam family "Bacterial small subunit ribosomal RNA", at positions 524 to 776 of the family's 1533-position model. The record is from RNAcentral.